GUGCAUAAAAUGCACUUAUCAAUCUCUACUAGUUAUUCAGAGAAAAGCAUAUCUUAAGUGGUGUGAGCUUCAAAGUGAAAUUUCUUUGCUUUUGGUUGUUCAAUUCUUUGAAUGUUUCAACCAUGUGUAUUAUGACUUCAAGUUCCAAAAGUUAAUGGUCAUUGUCUAGCUCUUGCAAGUGACAUAGGUACCAAGUUAAUGUUUUGGAUUGCCUGCUUGUAGGAGGAUUAUCUCUAUUGCUAUGUUGUGCAUCACUGUCAUCCACAGAGAGAACUUUCAUCUCAUAUAUAUGUUGCUGUCUAGGAAAUUGAGGGAUGGACUGCAAGGUUGCGUCCCUCUACGCAAGUAAUGUAUAAAAAAUAUUGUACAUUAAUAAUUGGAUGAUGAUCACUCGGUGAAUAUUGGGCUAUCAACCUGGUCAUAUGAUAAUAUAUAUGUUCUGCACGUGUAAAUUUAUUUCAUGGAAUAUUAUUUGGGUAUCUCUUAUUCAAAUUUUUACUAAGAUAUCUUCAAUUGAUAUGUGAAUGGGAUAUCUCCAUUCCCAAAUAGCUUUCACAUCUUUUUAUAAGUAUCUCAUGGUGUCUCUUCAGGUUUUUAUGUUUUUAUCUCAUGCUAUUUCCAGAGAGCCAAGGUCAUUUUUUAACUCCUUAAUUAUAGAUUGCAUCAGCCCAUGUCAUCAGGACAACACUAUAGGCUAACAUAAAAUGCUUGUGAAGCUCAUUUAAAUGCUCAAUUAUCAAGAUUCUGCUUUAUCUUGAAUGUUCCCAGUUAAUUGUGAAUCGUGAAUUAUUCUUCUUUUCACUAUCGUGGCUAUAUAUGCACUAUUGGACAGCUUAAAGCAAAUUGGUGAGUUCCUGUUUGAAAAAUAUGGAGGUUAAGACUUGGAUGUCAUGUAAGUUCAGUACACUUUAUGAAUGAUAAAUCUUAUUGCCAUUUAAUACUUGGAUGUCGUGUAAGUUCAACACACUUAAUGAAUGAUAAGUCUUAUUGCCAUUUAAUAAACAGAAUUUGUGAAUACUGAAUUGAUUGUCUGAAGUUGUAAUCUUAUUUUUUUCCUCUUUCCCGAGUUUAAGCAAUCAUGGAGAAAAAAAGGAGAGAGUAAACUAUGAUAUUGGUUGUUCUUAGAGUAAACUAUUAUAUUGGUUGUUCUUAUUUACUUUUAUCCAAAAUCAAAAACUUUUUGCUUAUAAAAUUGUACAAUUAGUUAGUCUCGAUUUACUUUUGAUCAGGUCUUUGUUUUAUUUUCUUUCGAUUUUCUUGUUUGUGAAAGAGCUUGCUAUCAUAUGCUGAUCUCUUUCUGCUUUUUUGUGGAUUUUGUUUAUGUAUAUUAUAACAUUAUGGCAAUGAAGAUGAUUUUUGAUGGGAAGCUAAGCAUUCCUGAUGGGCAGGAGAUUCACAAGGACUUUGAUUUGUUUGUGAUUGAAGCUGCAGUGCUGGAGUUCGUGCCUCACAAUUUCCUAGUCUAUAACUCAUUUUUCAUUGUCUAUGCACCAUUUGUGCUAAAAGUCUAGUAGACAUUUGUAACUAAGAUAUUAAGGUGCAUUGGCACAUUUCAUGGUUAAAUAUAGGUUAUUUAAAUUAAUGUAAUGAUUAUUAAUAAUUAUUUUAUAUGCAAU
Molecule: long non-coding RNA, 1616 nt
Filed under: Olea europaea subsp. europaea
Lineage: Eukaryota; Viridiplantae; Streptophyta; Magnoliopsida; Lamiales; Oleaceae
Source: RNAcentral